This 449-nucleotide long non-coding RNA is filed under the name Homo sapiens (human). RNAcentral's name for it is "novel transcript, sense intronic to CCDC122". Lineage: Eukaryota; Metazoa; Chordata; Mammalia; Primates; Hominidae. The record is from RNAcentral.
UCUGUUUUUACAAUGGUGGGAUUCGUAUUCUUUCAUGCAAAAGUAGUGGCAGUAAAAAAAAAAUGAAAAAGAAAAUAUUUCAAAAGAAUGAAGUUGUCAGGGAAGAGAGUUUGUUAUAUUGUAUUUGCAUACCAUUUCCUUUCACCAUCUGGUCCUAGUGUCAUGUCCUAACACUUCCUCAUCCCAUUUUCACUCUAUCCUACUCCAGUGGUUCUCAGUCUUGGCUGCAAAUCAGAACUGCAAGUGCAACUGAAAAAAAAAAUAAUUAAUGUAGAGACUCUAUCCCAAAUAUACAUUGAAUCAGAAUCUCUAGGAGUUAGGCCUGAGCAUGUUUUGCUUUGCUUUUUUGUUUUGUUUUAACCUCUAUGUAUGAGUUAGAUGCAUAAUUAAGUUUGAAAAAAUAAAAACACCCUAUUCCCAAGCCACUCAAAUAAAAGCUGUUCUUUGGA